RNAcentral lists this ribosomal RNA (774 nucleotides) under uncultured Neocallimastigales. Its description in RNAcentral is "partial large subunit ribosomal RNA". It matches the Rfam family "Eukaryotic large subunit ribosomal RNA", at positions 22 to 634 of the family's 3401-position model. The record is from RNAcentral. Lineage: Eukaryota; Fungi; Neocallimastigomycota; Neocallimastigomycetes; Neocallimastigales.
CUAUACAUGACUCUGCGCAUAUCAAUAAGCGGAGGAAAAGAAACUAACAAGGAUUCCCCUAGUAACGGCGAGUGAAGCGGGAAGAGCUCAAAUUUGAAAUCUUAAAGGGUUUCCCUUUACGAAUUGUAGUUUAAAGAAGUGUUUUCUGUUGAGGUUUUGGUAAAAGUUCUUUGGAAUAGGACAUCAUAGAGGGUGAGAAUCCCGUAUUUGACCAUUAUUUUCAGCUUUGUGAUACACUUUCAAAGAGUCGGAUUGUUUGGGAAUGCAGUCCAAAAUGGGUGGUAAAUUUCAUCUAAAGCUAAAUAUUGGCGAGAGACCGAUAGCGAACAAGUACCGUGAGGGAAAGAUGAAAAGAACUUUGAAAAGAGAGUUAAACAGUACGUGAAAUUGUCAAAAGGGAAGCGUUUGACACCAGUGUUGUUUUUCUGAAAAUCAAUUAAAGAACUGUUUAUGCUAAGCUGUUUAGACUUUAUCAGCUAUCUGUUUAGUUUUGAGCUUUUCUUUAAUGCACUUUUCAGUUAACAAGUCAACAUCAAUUUCUUUUGCUGUAAAAAAGCUUGAGGAAGGUGGCUUGAGAUUCGUCUUAAGUGUUUAUAGCCUCUUGCCUAUGCAGUCGGAGAGAUUGAGGUCUGCAGCGUAGAUCCUUCGGGGCUAAAUGCAUUUGUGCUAAGUUAUAGCAUUUUAUAGACAACUUGUUGACUAUGAUUUGUCUUGUAGCUUACUCGCUUAUGUUAUUUUACCUACGCUUAGGAUGUUGACAGCAGUAUAGACUGU